This is a long non-coding RNA of Lutra lutra (Eurasian river otter), 189 nucleotides long. RefSeq lists it as uncharacterized. NCBI's taxonomy places the organism in Eukaryota, Metazoa, Chordata, Mammalia, Carnivora, Mustelidae. The record is from RefSeq and is a predicted model, not a curated record. The transcript has 2 exons.
UCGGGAGGGAGACAAAUCGUAAGAGACUCUUAAUCUCAUAAAACAAACUGAGGGGGAGGGAGGGAGGGAUAGGGUGGUGGGGUUAUGGACAUUGGAGAGGGUAUGUGCUAUGGUGAGUGCUAUGAAAUGUGUAAGCCUGAUGAUUCAUAGACCUGUACCCCUGGGGCAAAUAAUACAUUAUAUGUUAAU